This 84-nucleotide transfer RNA is filed under the name Gemmataceae bacterium. RNAcentral describes it as "tRNA-Leu". It matches the Rfam family "tRNA". From Rfam's summary of the family: Transfer RNA (tRNA) molecules are approximately 80 nucleotides in length. Their secondary structure includes four short double-helical elements and three loops (D, anti-codon, and T loops). Lineage: Bacteria; Pseudomonadati; Planctomycetota; Planctomycetia; Gemmatales; Gemmataceae. The record is from RNAcentral.
GCCGGAGUGGUGGAACUGGCAGACACACCAUCUUGAGGGGGUGGCGCCCGCAAGGGCAUGUGGGUUCAAAUCCCACCUCCGGCA